UACGUAGGGUGCAAGCGUUAAUCGGAAUUACUGGGCGUAAAGCGUGCGCAGGCGGUUGUGCAAGACCGAUGUGAAAUCCCCGGGCUCAACCUGGGAAUUGCAUUGGAGACUGCAAGGCUAGAAUCUGGCAGAGGGGGGUAGAAUUCCACGUGUAGCAGUGAAAUGCGUAGAGAUGUGGAGGAACACCGAUGGCGAAGGCAGCCCCCUGGGUCAAGAUUGACGCUCAUGCACGAAAGCGUGGGGAGCAAACAGG
This 253-nucleotide ribosomal RNA is filed under the name uncultured bacterium. RNAcentral's name for it is "partial 16S ribosomal RNA". It matches the Rfam family "Bacterial small subunit ribosomal RNA", at positions 524 to 776 of the family's 1533-position model. The record is from RNAcentral.